Molecule: ribosomal RNA, 374 nt
Filed under: uncultured organism
Description: partial 16S ribosomal RNA
Rfam family: Bacterial small subunit ribosomal RNA
Source: RNAcentral
GUAGGUGGCAAGCGUUGUCCGGGAAUUAUUGGGGCGUAAAGCGCGCGCAGGCGGUUCUUUAAGUCUGAUGUGAAAGCCCACGGGCUCAACCGUGAGGGUCAUUGGAAACUGGAGAACUUGAAUACAGAAGAGGAAAGCGGAAUUCCACGUGUAGCGGUGAAAUGCGUAGAGAUGUGGAGGAACACCAGUGGCGAAGGCGGCUUUCUGGUCUGUAACUGACGCUGAGGCGCGAAAGCGUGGGGAGCAAACAGGAUUAGAUACCCUGGUAGUCCACGCCGUAAACGAUGAGUGCUAAGUGUUAGGGGGUUUCCGCCCCUUAGUGCUGCAGCUAACGCAUUAAGCACUCCGCCUGGGGAGUACGGCCGCAAAGGCUG